This 27-nucleotide non-coding RNA is filed under the name Homo sapiens (human). Lineage: Eukaryota; Metazoa; Chordata; Mammalia; Primates; Hominidae. The record is from RNAcentral.
UCAGAAGGUACAGAAGUGAAAUAUCUC